This 1291-nucleotide long non-coding RNA is filed under the name Sinocyclocheilus grahami. Its description in RNAcentral is "lncRNA (ENSSGRG00000017058.1)". The record is from RNAcentral. Lineage: Eukaryota; Metazoa; Chordata; Actinopteri; Cypriniformes; Cyprinidae.
UUUCAUGCGCCUCUUUAAUCACGUGGAAACAGCUUCCUCUCUCUAAUACCGAUCACGUCCUAAUUUUGAAUUAACUCUCCAAUAUUAGCCAGAUUCUUCAUAAUUUACAACAAAUUGUUUUUUUUUCUGUGAAUGUUUGUAGUGGAAAAAGUUUGUUUAGGCUAUGUUGUGAAGGGCAGGUCCACACACACACACACACACACACAUAGGCGGCGGCUGUUAUUGAUCACAGUGCGCGAAGCAGGAAUCCGAAGAAAUGUGGUGAUGCAGCAAGUGCAGUUGUGCUGGAUCAGCCGGUUUGUUCUCUGUUUACAUACAUUUGGGUUUACCUCAUGGCAGCCACAACAUGUUUCCUUCGAUCCUAGGACCUCAGAUUUCAAGAAAGUCACGAUUGCUGUCUAUCUGAUUCCAGUUUCUUUGACACACUCCAUCACAGUCCCUUUCAUCUCUUUACUUAGCACCUAGAGACGCUGCUGAUUGUGUCUCAUAGAGAUUGAUAAAGAUCACUAAAGAGCCUCUUACUGGAUAGUUAUUGAAAUUGUGUUGGUGUGGUAGCAUCAUUUUGUAUGCGUCUGUCUGCACAUAUGUGCUCUACUCUGGGUCUCAUUAGGGCCUUUCGCACUGCAGGAACCUUUUCAUAGUACCAGAACUAAUUGUGGAACUACCCACUUUUCGGCGUGUUCGCACCGCCGGAACUGGGAGCGAUUUUAGUACCGGACUGCCUUUUUCGAGAACCAAAUUAGCUCCUACUCCAGAGCAGGGUCUAACCAGCACAACUGGUACUAAUCGUGACGUAAGUAGACAUUGAUUGGCCAAACGCGUAUGAAAACGCCCUCACCCGCCAUGAUUUAAAACGCCGUGUAAACAUACUGUAAACAUGUCAACUUAUUUCUCAAGUAUGGAGAACAGCGAUAGAUGGACGGACGCUGAAGUGCAGGCACUUGUAGCAAAUGUAGCACUGCCAGUUGUCGUUGGAGAUUCUUAGUCCUCCUUUCCGUUCUUUCAAUUGCUUUACGUAUACGUCGACUUUCCAUGUCCAUUAUUGUGAAACCCGCGAGACAACAAAAACAGCUCAGAUCACAGCGUCCUCCAUCCUCCUGUUGUUAAUGUUGUUCUUUUAUUCUGUUGUUGAACGCCGUGCACAAAUGACGACGCUGUCGACCGGCUUACGUCACUUCUUAGUACAUACUCUCGGUGCGAAUGCAACCCUUUAAAUGGUACUGGGAAAUAGUUCGCGCAAAAUCGUCCCAGUACUUUAGUACCGUACAUUUAGUUCUGGAACUAAAGCGGU